UUCUCUGUCUGGUGUUAGUGUGCUCCAUCCUGCCCCAGCAAAGGUUGUAAUUCCACCUCUCCACCUGGUUCUCUGUCUGGUGUUAGUGUGCUCCAUCCUGCCCCAGCAAAGGUUGUAAUUCCACCUCUCCACCUGGUUCUCUGUCUGGUGUUAGUGUGCUCCAUCCUGCCCCAGCAAAGGUUGUAAUUCCACCUCUCCACCUGGUUCUCUGUCUGGUGUUAGUGUGCUCCAUCCUGCCCCAGCAAAGGUUGUAAUUCCACCUCUCCACCUGGUUCUCUGUCUGGUGUUAGUGUGCUCCAUCCUGCCCCAGCAAAGGUUGUAAUUCCACCUCUCCACCUGGUUCUCUGUCUGGUGUUAGUGUGCUCCAUCCUGUAUGAAGCUGGAAGGCCUGUAUCAUAAGCUCUCUCUUACUGCCUCUGAUAGAAGUCUACAUUCCUAUAACAUGACAUCCAUAUACUUUUUUUAUAAUAAGGGUCAAGACAGCACCAUUUUAGACUGAGACCUGGAUCAUAUGCCCUACUACUACUACUACUACUACUACUACUACUACUACUACUACUACUACUACUACUACUACUUAUCACACCCAAACCAUGACUACUUAUUAACUACUUCAAGCUCAACUCAUUUCCUAGGGCCAAGAGUUGUUGUAUAUUAAGUAUUAAGAAUUUUAUCGUAGCGACCAUUCCUAUAGUCUUAGUUGUGUGGAAGUGGAAGUCAGGUGGAGUGGGAGCUUGUGGAGUAUUGUCACCCACUCCGCCCCAAAGGGUUUGAUAGGUGGAAUGCUCACCGCGUGCCGACAGCUUGUUCCCGAAGCCUUGCUCUGACACCCACCCUCUACAUCUAGGCAGCUUUGUCAGCCACUGGUCAUUGAAGAGACUGAGGCAAGAGAGAGAUGCAGUUCCUCUUCAUCUUCUUCAUUUAACCCGUCCGCUGCGAUUGUCAGGGAUUCGUCCUUCACUGGUAGCCUGGUAACAUAUAGUCCCAGGUCUUUUUCUUCCUCUGUGGUGGAUAGUGGAGUGUUUCCCAUGUGGUAUUGGUGUGCUGGAUAUCCCUUCACUGGUAGCCUGGUAACAUGUACUCCCAGGUCUUUCUCUGCCUCUGUGGUGGAUAGUGGAGUGUUUCCCAUGUGGUAUUGGUGUGCUGGAUAUCCCUUCACUGGUAGCCUGGUAACAUGUACUCCCAGGUCUUUCUCUGCCUCUGUGGUGGAUAGUGGAGUGUUUCCCAUGUGGUAUUGGUAUGCUGGAUAUCCCUUCACUGGUAGCCUGGUAGCAUAUAGUCCAGGGGUCGGCAGCCUUUUGAACAUAGAGUGCCAAGUCUAAUUAAUGCCUUUUCUUUUAUUACCUUGCAUGCCAGGUGUUAUUUUUUCCCACACUAUAAAGCGUAUGUCCUAUGGAAGUUGAGAUCAUAAUCAUAUACACAGAGUAUGUAGUGACCAUUAUAACUAAAGUAAAGUGUAUUUUCCUGCACAUGUAUAACAUAAAUGUUACAUUUUUGUAGCAAUUAGCAUUCCUUGUAACUAAAAAUAUAUUAUUUUUUAUUUUAAAUUUAUA
Molecule: long non-coding RNA, 1553 nt
Organism: Eriocheir sinensis (Chinese mitten crab)
Lineage: Eukaryota; Metazoa; Arthropoda; Malacostraca; Decapoda; Varunidae
Exons: 6
Source: RefSeq, a predicted model, not a curated record